GUGCCAGCCGCCGCGGUAAUACGUAGGGUGCAAGCGUUAAUCGGAAUUACUGGGCGUAAAGCGUGCGCAGGCGGUUAUGCAAGACAGAGGUGAAAUCCCCGGGCUCAACCUGGGAACUGCCUUUGUGACUGCAUGGCUAGAGUACGGUAGAGGGGGAUGGAAUUCCGCGUGUAGCAGUGAAAUGCGUAGAUAUGCGGAGGAACACCGAUGGCGAAGGCAAUCCCCUGGACCUGUACUGACGCUCAUGCACGAAAGCGU
This 258-nucleotide ribosomal RNA is filed under the name uncultured Burkholderiales bacterium. RNAcentral describes it as "partial 16S ribosomal RNA". It matches the Rfam family "Bacterial small subunit ribosomal RNA", at positions 505 to 762 of the family's 1533-position model. The record is from RNAcentral. Lineage: Bacteria; Pseudomonadati; Pseudomonadota; Betaproteobacteria; Burkholderiales.